RNAcentral lists this long non-coding RNA (10907 nucleotides) under Setaria viridis. RNAcentral's name for it is "long non-coding RNA (SVIR_LNC001992)". The record is from RNAcentral. Lineage: Eukaryota; Viridiplantae; Streptophyta; Magnoliopsida; Poales; Poaceae.
GCGCGAGAACCCACUUGGUCGCUUGCUGGAGACAAAACUGAGCGGUGGCGUCGGAGAAGGCGAGCCACGCGGUAGGAAGGCUCUGAGGCGGCCAUGCAACUCGAGUGCGGCUGAUGCGGGGGAUCUGGAAAAAGAUCUCGCGGGUCCACUGGGGAAAAGAUCGGACGGGUGAGGAAGAUUAACCGGAUCCGACGGAUGGCUGAACUCGCCGGGGUCGGGAAAAAGGAACGAAGCAGUAGGGGUCGGAUCUCAGGGGUCGGAACUGGCAGAAAACUGAGCACUUAAGAGCGAUCCACAGAACAACUGACGGAGGUUUAAGGGCUGAGAUCAAACUUAACCGGGAAAGAUUUGGGGUCGGUCGUUACAUCCUACCCCCCUUAAAAGGAAUCUCGUCCCGAGAUUCAAGAUCAAGGGUGUGUUGUUCUUACCUCCUUGAUGGGAUAGAAAACCUGGAAAACGCUUGUUCAGAUAUUCUUCCGUCUCCCAUGUUGCUUCGUCUUCGGUGUGAUUUCUCCAGAGGAUCUUGUACAUCCUUACCAGUCGGCGUCGGGUGUGCCUUUCCUUCUGGUCCAGAACUCGAUCUGGGUACUCGGUAUAGGUCAGGUCAGGUUCUACUUGAAGCUGUUCUUGUUCUAGGAUUUCUGCUGGAACUCGGACACAUUUCUUCAACUGAGACACAUGGAAAACAUUAUGUAUGGCCGACAGCUGCUCUGGAAGUUGGAUUCUGUAAGCGACGGGUCCACAGAUCUCCACAAUCUCAUAAGGGCCGAUGUAACGGGGAGCUAACUUGCCCUUUAUUCCAAACCGUUGCACUCCUUUGGUUGGGGAGACUCUAAGAUACACAUGGUCACCAAGGUUGAACUGCAGGGGUCUUCUCCGUUGGUCAGAGUAACUCUUCUGUCGAGAUUGGGCAGCCUUGAGAUUUGCCUGAAUUACUCUUACUUGCUCUUCGGCCUCUGCCACUAAGUCAGGGCCAUAGACCUGUCUCUCUCCUGAUUGGGACCAGUUCAAGGGUGUUCGGCAUCUUCGGCCGUACAGGACCUCAAACGGUGCCACCUUCAAACUGGCUUGGUAGCUGUUAUUGUAGGAGAACUCUGCUAAGGGCAGGCACUUGUCCCAGUUCUUGUCAUAGUGAAUGACACAAGCUCUUAACAUGUCUUCAAGGAUCUGGUUGACUCUCUCGGUUUGGCCAUCGGUCUGGGGAUGGUACGUUGAGCUUCGAAUGAGCUUGGUGCCCAUGGAUGCUUGUAGUUGCUCCCAAAAUCGUGCCACAAACUGAACUCCUCUGUCUGAAACUAUGGUCUUGGGUACACCGUGUAGAGAAACGAUACGGUCGAGGUAUAACUCUGCAUAUUGCUUGACGGUGUAGGUGGUACGAACAGGCAAGAAGUGUGCUGUCUUGGUCAGACGGUCCACUAUAACCCAGAUAGAAUCGUACCGUUGAGUUGUAAGGGGUAGCCCAACUAUGAAAUCCAUGCUGAUGUCUUCCCAUUUCCAAGAGGGAAUAGGCAGCGGCUGCAAGGUUCCUGCUGCCUUCAAGUGACUGGCCUUGACACGUCGACAAGUGUCGCAUUCUGAAACGUAACGUGCUAUCUCCGGUUUCAUCCCACUCCACCAAAAGAUCUGACGAAGAUCAUGGUACAUCUUGUUGCUGCCAGGGUGGAUGGAGAACUUGGAAAGAUGAGCUUCAUCUAGGAUUUGCUUCCGUAACUCGGGGUCGGCGGGCACUACUAGUCGGUUUCCAUAGUACACACCUCUCGUUUGGUCCUGCCGGAAAAGCUUAUACCCUUCGUCCUUUACCGAGAUUUUACUGAUGAUCCGUUUCACUUCUUCAUCCUUAGUUUGUGCUGACCGAAUCCGGUCCUCCAAAACUGAGUCAAGGGUGAGGUGAUCAAGGGUUCCAUGGGGAACAAACUCUAGACUUAGUUUUCCCAUUUCGUGACACAAAGUGUCGGUGAAGGCUGCUGACAACAAGCAGUUGCAACGUGGUUUUCGACUGAGGGCAUCGGCCACUACAUUGGCCUUGCCGGGAUGAUAGUGCACGUCCAAGUCAUAAUCCUUUAUUAACUCCAGCCAUCUUCUCUGACGCAUGUUGAGGUCGGCUUGCGUGAAGAUGUACUUGAGGCUCUUGUGGUCGGUGUAGAUGUUGCAGUGGGCUCCCAUUAAGUAGUGCCUCCAUAUCUUCAAGGCAUGUAUCACUGCUGCCAACUCAAGGUCGUGUGUCGGGUAGUUCAGCUCAUGAGGUCGCAACGCACGUGAGGCAUAGGCAACGACUCGGUUGUCUUGCAUAAGAACACAUCCGAGUCCAGUGCCAGAGGCGUCACAGUAUACGUCAUACGGCCUAGAGGGGUCGGGUUGAGCCAAAACUGGGGCGGUGGUUAACAAGUGCUUCAAGGUUUUGAAGGCUCCUUCACACUUGGUGUCCCACACAAACUUGGCCUCUUUCUUCAACAACUCGGUCAUCGGCUUAGCUAUCUUGGAGAAAUCUGGUAUAAAACGCCGAUAGUAACCUGCCAGUCCGAGAAAACUCCGGAUCUGGUGUACCGAGACAGGAGACUUCCAUUCCAUGACCUCUUGCACCUUACUGGGAUCUACGGCAAUACCGUCCGCGGAGAUAGUGUGUCCCAAGAACUUGACACUAUCCAACCAAAACUCACACUUGGAGAACUUUGCAUAAAGCUGGUGGUCUCUCAGUCGCUGAAGAACUAUAUGAAGAUGGUUGGCAUGCUCUUCCUUGUCUUUUGAGUACACUAGGAUGUCAUCAAUGAACACCACGACAAACUUGUCCAGCUCGGGCAUGAACACCGAGUUCAUAAGGUACAUGAAGUAAGCGGGUGCAUUGGUGAGUCCAAAGGACAUGACUAGGUACUCAUACAACCCAUAUCUGGUAGAGAAAGCUGUCUUGGGCACGUCGCAAGGUCGAAUCUUGAUUUGGUGAUAACCAGAACGAAGAUCGAUCUUGGAGAACACUUUUGCUCCGGCUAACUGGUCGAACAAAACAUCAAUGCGGGGCAGCGGGUACUUGUUCUUAACUGUUACCGCAUUGAGGGGUCGGUAAUCCACACACAUCCGUAAACUGCCGUCUUUCUUCUUCACAAACAGGGCGGGGCAACCCCAAGAUGACGUACUGGGUCGAAUGAAACCCUUUUCCAACAGGUCAUGCAACUGAGUCUUCAACUCUACUAACUCAGCGGGUGGCAUCCGAUAAGGUCUCUUAGAUAUUGGAGCCGUGCCAGGAACUAACUCUAUGGAAAACUCCACUUCUCUGUCAGGUGGCAUGCCUGGCAAGUCCUCUGGAAACACAUCUGGGUACUCACAGACAACAGAGAGGUCUUCUAUACGGGUUCCCAAGAGAGAAAAAGCACAAGGGGGCAAAGACUCAGGGUGGGUCAAGGAUAGGAUAGCACUGCCAUGAGAGGGCGAGUUGAUGGAAAGAGAUCGGGCUGAGGUAUCUAAAACAAUAUGAUGUCGGGUCAUCCAAUCCAUGCCAAGGAUGAUGUCUAGGCCUUCGAGGUCAAGGAUGAUAAGGUUUUCCUUGAAGAGGGUGGGGCCUAGCUGGAGAGGUACCAGAAUAACGACCUGAUCCGACGUUAUCCUUCCUCCAGGAGUGGCGAUCACAUAGGGUUCCUUAGUGUGACCUACACUUAGCCCACAUCUUUCCCUUGCCUUACUCCCGAUAAAACUAUGGGAGGCUCCCGAGUCAAACAACACCACAACAGCUUGUUUUAAAACAAGAAAAGUACCCGUCAUUACUGACGCACCUUCGGGAAGUUCGGUCAGGCUGGUGUAGUUGAGUCGGCCUUGUCGGACUUGUACCUUGGGCCUUCUUCCUCUGGCUGCCAGGAGGUUCUGGCCUUGCUGCCGAGUCUUGCUCCUGGGGCAGUCCCAUGCAAAAUGUCCCUCAUUGCCGCAGGUAAAGCAUCUGUUACUGGCCACCGGACGAGGUGGCGUUGGCAAGGUCGGCCGGGGUACUUGUGGUUGGAAGCCUGGGGAACUGGGCAUUGUUGCCAGCGGGGGUCGGGCGAUCCAUUUCCCUGACUGUUGGGGUUGGCCAGGGGCUUGCGGAGGGAUCAUCCGAAAUCUUCUGGCUGGCGGGCUCGGAAGAGCCACAGAGGCUUUCCUCUUCUGGUCGGCCUUGAGAGCUUGCAUGCAAUCCUCCUGGGAGAUGGCCAGAUUGACCAGCUCAUUAUAGGUGUCCACCCGGAUGGGGUUCAGCCUCUCCCUGAGCUCCAAGCUCAAUCCUCGGCGGAAUCUGUCCCGCUUCUUCUCAUCGGUAUCCGCGUGAUAUCCCGCAUAACGGCACAGGUCGUUAAACGCCUGGGCGUAGUGCAGCACAUCCCUAGUUCCCUGGGUGAGGGCCAGAAACUUGUUGAGCUUUCGCUCCAGGAGACCUUCAGGAAUGUGAUGCGCCUUGAACGCCAGCUUAAACUUGUCCCAGCUAACUACGUGGUCAGCAGGUAGCAUGGCAUGGUAGUGGUCCCACCAAAGCCGUGCGGAACCACGCAGCUGCUGAGCUGCGAACCGCGCCUUGUUGCUGUCAGGGCAUGGAGCGGUAAGGAGCUCGAACAUAGAUUCAAUCGUCCGAACCCAUGCAUCAGCGUCGAGCGGUUCCUGGGUCUUUUGGAACAGUGGGGGCUGUGUCCCCAAAAAGUCCUCAUAUCUUGCGACAUGCUGCUGCUGCUGUGCUCUACCGCCACGUGGCUGCUGUUGUCCUUGUACCAGAUGCCUGAGCAGCUCGGUUUGAGUUGCUAGGAUUGCCUCCAAUGGCGAUGGUGGCGGGGGCGGGGGAAGAUCCUGGCGCUGGUCACUGUUGCUGGGCAUAGUUCCAGACCUCGUGCGGUGCGCCAUCUGCAAGAGUUAACGCCCCAUUAAUCUCAUAACCUUAGGUGGAUUCCAACGAAUGGGAUCGUAUGAAUUAAAUCCUUUAAUGCGACUCUUGCCAAUGGUACAUCACACGUCCUUAUAGAGGAAGCACAUUCCUCCCAUUUUAUCACAGAUAGCCCCUACUUGCUCUGGUACUCCACCUCAGGUAACCAUACCACAACAGACUUCUAGAGUCGGUCCACUCGAACCAAGGGGUCGGAUACGGUCCGUAUUCUCAGAGGGUCGGACAAGGCGGUAACUGUCUUAAGGGUCGGCGCACUCUGGUUCGCAAGCUAGGGUCGGCCAACUGAACAGGCUCCCUGAAAACAACACAGGGUCGGCACCACUUACGUAACCUUAGCAUCCGCAUCAUACGAAAAGGAUAGAACUGUACACUGCACUGGAUUAACUUUAUACACAACGUUGUUUUCAACUCAGGGAGUACUCAACUCAAGGCUAACCUAUUACAACCUUCCAAAACUAGGCUGCCGAGGAGUACAACAAAAGAAAGAGGGUUCCCUGAGAACCCUUAAACUACCACUGGAUACUAUGAGUCGGAGAAGGAACGUCAUCUUCUUCUAUGUCCAUGCUGGACGCUCCCUCGUCUUCCUCAGGGUCCUCCUGAGCUUCAAGUUGCAUGUUGAGGGCAUGCAUGUCUUCAAGCUCAGCUUGGUGUUCCUCUAGGUGGGCAUUGGCAAUGGCCAAUUCCAUUUCCACCUCCAUUUUCUCCUCCGAGAGCUCGAUCAUACCGUCCACAAGGUCGGCAACUUCUCCUUCCAGCUCGGAGAUCCGGUCUUGCAUGUCGUGGAUCUGGACUCCACGUUGGAUCAGCUGGUAGGUUUGGCCUACCAGAUCUCUUCUAGCUGCUUGGAGGUACACGUGGGUGUCCGUAGCAGUCCGAGCAAAGAGUGUCAUGGCCCUUCCUUGGAGCUCGAUCAGCCGGUAGAACGCAGACAUGCAUCUGACGUUGGUGGAGAUAGUGAGCGUGGCGCAGGUAGCGGCCAACACCUCAAGAUUGCCGAUACGGUCCAGCCAGGCCGGGUCCAUCCGACUUCUGAUAGGAAAAAGACCGAUUGGGUCCAGGGUGAUCUCCACAGGGUGGAACUGACAGAACUGCGUGAGCAACUGGAGAGCGGCGGAUUCCCACGUAUCUUCCGGAGAAAGACCGUAGGCUAUGAUACCCAGAGAGGGCCAGUCGGGCCGCACAAAAGGGGGUGGCACCAGUGCUUGCACCUGGCACGCCUGGAUGCCUUGCUCCACAUACAGCCGCCCAGAGUAUAGGGGUGGGGACUGAUACCCAAACCAUCUCAACGUAUCCCACAAGAUCGCGGGAAACCCCUCGAAAUGUAGGCAGGUUGAUUGGAAGGUACCGUCCGCUCCAAACACCACAUGCCCGGGAGCAGCCAUCUGGAACCAAGAAAACCGAAGCCACGUGAGAUAACUUCGAAGAUCAGGGGUCGGAUAGAGAAGCAGAAGGGCUUAACCGAGAGCAACUAAGAGGAGCUAGAAAUCCUUAGAUCCAAAGGAACUCUGUCGGACAGGGUUGCUGUUGAGAAGGAAACUUCACCGGUUUCUGUAUGACGCAUGCACGGCCUACCGUAUUCUUAACCAAAAACAACUGCCCGAACCUCGGGUCUUACGCGGUUAGCGCCGGUGACAAGGCAACAAUACGUCUCUCCCUAUAUUAUCUAGUCGGUUCUAGCAACGUCUUAACGAACACGGUUAGCAACCUGCAGAAAACACACACCCGAACCUUUCGUGCCAGCACCCACGAAAGCGUUCCCAAACAUUACCAUCCACUAUAGGAACGGCACCCAUGCGUUUAAGGCUGCAUGGACAGCACUCAACCGUGGAAAGAGGUUCCUUCCGAAUAGAACCACCUAACCCUUCGCAUACUCGUGAUGCGGCAUCGGCACACGUAUGAUAGACGUGGCGAAACAACCGUGCCAAUAGGUUCGUUGGAAUCGAACCGUAUCAACCUUCGUAUGGAUCACAUACGGAACCUACGCACGUAUAAUAGACGUGGGCGAAAACAACCGCGAAGAUAGGGUCCCUUGAAUGGAACUCCCUAUCAACCCUCGCAUACUCGUGAUGCGGAACUCGGCUCACGUAUAACAAACGUGGCGAAGUGCUGGAGGAGUUAGCAACAUAACCAGAUACUUAUUAGUCACCUAAAACAACCCCAAAAUCCCCUAGGGCCUCUCGCACUAAGUCAUCCUUAAUGUUUGUACGAGAUUUUCGAAAAGUUCUUGCAACUUUUAUAUUUUCAAAGAAGUGUUUAGGGCUCCUUGGGUUCUCUGAUAUGCUGAACUCGGCUCUGAUACCAAGCUGUGGCGGAACCACCUCGGAUUAGCUUGAUUAAGCAGGGUUAAGCCGCCUAACAUGCGACACUCCUGCCUAAACCGAGUUAAUACGAAGUGCCGUCGGAUUCCAUCCGAUUUCACCACUUAAACAGGAUCGAGUUCAGCAAACCCACACAAGGUGAGCGGUUACAGAGAAUCCAACAAGUCCACUGAGUUAAACAUUCUUACUCAAGAGUUCGAUCAUAAAAAUUUAACAUCAGAGUUUUAUAACAAAAGUCAACAGAGAAAUCCCUAGCGGAAGACUUCGUCGGGGUCGGACGUCCGGGCGAGGCCAGCCAGAACAUCACUGAGUCCUCUCCUCGCCGUCCGAGGAGGGGUCCCACUCGACCGUCCAGCCUGGCGGAAGCUGGGGCGGCCAAGCACCAACCAGAGAGGGGUCGGAAACUGCAACUUCACCUGAAAAACAGGAGCCACAACAAGGCUGAGCUACUAAGCUCAACAAGACUUAACCGGGGAGGAGUCAACGACUCUUCCAACUAGACAUGCAAGGCUUCUUGGCUGAGGGGGUUUGUUUUGCCAAAAGCACUAAGUAACCUAUUUUCAAGUUUUAGCUCCGGUUCUAGAUUUACUUACCAGUCUAGGUUGUGCAACCUAUUCUAAGCAAACAUAGAGCCAAACAAGUGUGUAGAUAAAACAACAUCAUUGCCAUCAUCAGAUUCCUCAUUUACUCAGGGUGACAUAGCGAUCAAGCAAUCUCAAACUGUGAGAGGCAGACGAAUCGAUUCGAGUUCUUUAACCAUGCAUGGUGAACCUAGCCCCACGACAUCCGCGCACCCGGAGAUCGCUUCCUGUGUCGGCCUUCCCCAUCGAUCCCCUAACCCGUGUCGGGCCCAUUUCCUUUGGUGCAAGGUUCCACAGACCCGGCCUCUGCCGUCCUGUGACCACGCUUUGCCACCACGUGCGACAACCAGCAGGGGAAACUCCGUUCCAAGAACAAUGGGGCGACCGCUCACGUCUAGGUUCAAUCAGGUACUAGGCUUCCUCAGCCCAUACUAAGUAUGAGGCUAGUACUUUCAAACACUUGAUCACGAACACCACCACUGUCGGGCCUUAGCAAGUUUUCAUAGACAAACGGGCAACCAUCCAACCACCAAAGAGUUACCCAACCCUGCCCGUCCAUCGUCCUUAUAGUUGUAACAGGAGAGUAAACAUGCAACUCCUACAACUCGCGAGCGACAGAAGAUCACUCGGCUUUUACCGUCUCCUAUUAAGCAAUGCAGCUACUUGGUCCAACAGCUAGUGCUCAUAUCAAGGGUUACUAAGUCAUGCAUCUAGGGUUUCACACAACUCCUAUACGUAAAUGCACAAGCAAGUUACAGAAGGCAUACGCAGGUCUGGCAAAACACGUAGGUUGGUUCAUGCAACCGGGGCUUGCCUGCAAACAAAGAGGGUGGAAACUGCUCGACUUCGGGGGCGGCUUCGACUUCAGCGGGCGGAAACUCGGCUACAGCUUCUUCUUCGGGCGCCGGGUGCAGCUCGUAGAAGCCGUCAGCGAGGUGCAGCUCUACACGGAUGCAAUGCAAAGGUUAGCUUAACGUUUUGGUUUGACAGCAACACUGGCUCUCCUGAGCCCAGAAACUUGCGACAAAGAACAGGAGUUGGAGACUGUUUAAGAGAGCUGAUGCUGAUCAACAGGUAAGGGUAGGGAAGAAACGAGUGGUCCGAUCCUCGAACUAGAGGGUGUGAUAACCGGGAUCCUCAGACGUAAGCGCUGAAGGGUUCCCACGUUUUACACUUACACCCUUAAGUUGAAGAAAGGAUCACAGCCAGACCCUCGGGCGAGGCGGACAAAGGUCGGCAAACAGACAGGGUCGGACGAGACGGAACUGGGGUCGGGCGGGUAGGAGGGGUCGGUCGAGGCGGACUUUAGGGUCGGCACUCACCUUCUUCCUGAAAGGAAGGCUUGGGGUCGGGAAGAGGCAGACUUGGGCACUGAACUAAAGCUUUGAGCAGGAACUAAGGCUGGCGGUGCUCCGGCGGCGGUGCUUCUUGCAGAUUGCAAGAGAGCUCUUGCGCAGCACCAGAGAGCAAGCUGCGGGGUGACUUGGAUGAACUGAGAAGGAACUGGGAGAAGAACUUCUCAAGAUUGGGUGGAUGGCGCUAGGAGCUUGAGCAGGGAGCUAGCGGGAACUAAGGGCAACAAAAGCGGAGGGAACUCCGGCGACGGGGCAUUCCUUUUAUAGCCGCAGGAGCAGAGGAACGGAAGCGUCGCGGAGAGAGAGGAGGGAAGCAGCGCGAAGGCCGGGGAGAAGCAAUGGAGUGCCCUGCCGUGGCGGCGAUUGAGCAAACCAGGCGGUGCGGCAGAACUCCGGGGGUGACGCCAGCGAUCAUUGCGCUACUUCGUCAGAGCGGCGUAGGCGCGGGUAGACCGGUAGUUGAGAUUUGGCGGAAAGCGGGCGUCGCCGUGCGGAAGAGGUGAUAGAAGCGACCGGUUAAACGGUGCUAGGAUCGAGGGCGCACAGGUGGGAGAACAAACGGAUGCGGCGCGGGGUAGAGCGCGGAACAACAGAUUGUCGGGCGGCGUCUGACAGCGCGGGGAAAGGGACUGUCGCGGCCGCGGUCGGGGUUGGCGGUGGGGGAAUCGUCGUGUAGCGACGACCGGGCGGCGCAACUGUUGCUGGAAAGGACGGAAAAGACGGGCGACAUCGGUCUCCGGGGCCGAGAUCUGGUAUCGUGAUGAUGGGUGCGGGGAGCGAGGCUCUGCAGAAAGGGGCGCAGAGGGCUUCCGCUGCUAUUGGGGAAGAGGGCGCGAGAACCCACUUGGUCGCUUGCUGGAGACAAAACUGAGCGGUGGCGUCGGAGAAGGCGAGCCACGCGGCAGGAAGGCUCUGAGGCGGCCAUGCAACUCGAGUGCGGCUGAUGCGGGAGAUCUGGAAAAAGAUCUCGCGGGUCCACCGGGGAAAAGAUCGGACGGGUGAGGAAGAUUAACCGGAUCCGACGGAUGGCUGAACUCGCCGGGGUCGGGAAAAAGGAACGAAGCAGUAGGGGUCGGAUCUCAGGGGUCGGAACUGGCGGAAAACUAAGCACUUAAGAGCGAUCCACAGAACAACUGACGGAGGUUUAAGGGCUGAGAUCAAACUUAACCGGGAUCGGUCGUUACAGCCGUCUACACUCCAACGACGCUUUCGCAGCGUACCUGCAGUAGUACGUCCCGAGGACACAGACACGCGUCAUGCACGUUCCCAGGCAGGCACCAACGAAGGCUGCACCACUGGCACAGACGUAUCCACAUUCACAGUACACUACUGCAUCAUUUCCUACCCAAACUGAUUUGGAUUAUGUUGAACUUUGUAUGGAAUAUGGUGUGCCUAACUUGAACUAUGUAAUUGGCAUUAGUACAACGUUGUUGCAGUGGUUCAGGCGACGGUGAGGACCGGUGUGGAGCAAUGUUGGACCAUGUCUCCGCAGGAGCACAAGUCGACAUACAAGAGGAUAGAGCACCUCUGUACUCGGUUCCUGCGGGCCAUCAACUUUCAUGGUGGUGACGCCAACGUUCUACUUCCACCACGGGCUGUCUACCUCGGGUUGUCUUCAGCACCACCUACGCAGCAUCUCGGUUCAUCUUCAGCACCACCUACACACCACCCUGGUUCAUCUUCUACUGCACCCACACGUCCAGUGUACCCCACGGUGUCUUGUGCACCAUAGGCACAUGCAGUCCCCCCUCCCCGGGGGGCGUCG